AUUGAACGCUGGCGGCAGGCCUAACACAUGCAAGUCGAGCGGAUGAAGGGAGCUUGCUCCUGGAUUCAGCGGCGGACGGGCGAGUAAUGCCUAGGAAUCUGCCUGGCAGUGGGGGAUAACGUCCGGAAACGGGCGCUAAUACCGCAUACGUCCUGAGGGAGAAAGUGGGGGAUCUUCGGACCUCACGCUAUCAGAUGAGCCUAGGUCGGAUUAGCUAGUUGGUGGGGUAAAGGCCUACCAAGGCGACGAUCCGUAACUGGUCUGAGAGGAUGAUCAGUCACACUGGAACUGAGACACGGUCCAGACUCCUACGGGAGGCAGCAGUGGGGAAUAUUGGACAAUGGGCGAAAGCCUGAUCCAGCCAUGCCGCGUGUGUGAAGAAGGUCUUCGGAUUGUAAAGCACUUUAAGUUGGGAGGAAGGGCAGUAAGUUAAUACCUUGCUGUUUUGACGGUACCAACAGAAUAAGCACCGGCUAACUUCGUG
This 484-nucleotide ribosomal RNA is filed under the name uncultured bacterium. RNAcentral's name for it is "partial 16S ribosomal RNA". It matches the Rfam family "Bacterial small subunit ribosomal RNA", at positions 30 to 507 of the family's 1533-position model. The record is from RNAcentral.